AGAGGCUGCAGGACCAACUCGCCAGCCCCAGCCCCCUACCCACCUACACCGCGCCCAGCUCCAACCGCCCACACGCCCCUCCGCAGCCUCUUCCCCACUGCCCACCCCGGGGGCUGCUCCUGAUCUCCCCCAGAAACCCACAGGCGCUCUAACCACCAGCAAAUUUCUAACAGCCCCAGCCUUCCAGGAAAGAAAGAAAGGAAAAAAAAAAAAAAGACCAUGACAUCACGGGCAGGUUUAUUUGGGUUUGUUUGUUUGCUUGUUGGCUCGAUUAAAUACUCGUGGAAGGUGAACGUACCCCACACAGGAGAAGUUUGAUGUUGACAAACUUCUGGUGGCAGCGAGACUGUGUCAGCACAACUUCCGGGAUAAUGAGAGCUGCUUUGCAGGGAGCGCGGCAGCGGCGGCGGGAGGCGGCCGCAGGACGGAACAGCAAAUGCUAUUCAGCCCGAGCAGUUUCAAGCCGCCCGAGCUGGGGAAUUACUGUAGUCGAGCUACGGCUCUUACCACCGGCGCUGGAUCUGGGCGCACGUUAGGGGGGGAAGCUGCAGGCACAGGGCGCCGAGAGGGGAGCUUUCAAGUUACUUUGCUCCAUCCCUGCACCCGGCAGAGGCUUUCAGGCUGCGUGGACUCUCCAAAAUUUAUUCUUGGGAAGACUGACAGCCGGGGUCAAGAAACAGCUGUUGAAGUUAAUGUUUCUUCCUCCCACUUCGUCUGAUGGUUGUGCCCUGCCAAGACAAAGUGAAACCAGAAGGUGUCUUCCCAUCUCUGUUUAAAGAAGUCAUGUGCCAGUCUGCAGAGAAAUGCCUGUAUACACGGAGAGUCUUCAAAUUUAUAUCAAGAGGCUUCCAAUGUCAUGCAUCUAAUUA
Molecule: long non-coding RNA, 869 nt
Organism: Zalophus californianus (California sea lion)
Lineage: Eukaryota; Metazoa; Chordata; Mammalia; Carnivora; Otariidae
Exons: 3
Source: RefSeq, a predicted model, not a curated record